AACAUCUGCCUCGCAUCGGGAGCCCCCGGGCUAUCCGGCCUCUAAACCCCCCUCAAGCCCGCUCCGGCGGCACCAAGGUUGACCUCGGAUCAGGUAGGAAUACCCGCUGAACUUAAGCAUAUCAAUAAGCGGAGGAAAAGAAACCAACAGGGAUUGCCUCAGUAACGGCGAGUGAAGCGGCAACAGCUCAAAUUUGAAAUCUGGCUCCUUCGGGGCCCGAGUUGUAAUUUGCAGAGGAUGCUUCGGGUACGGGUUCCUUCCGAGUUCCCUGGAACGGGACGCCAUAGAGGGUGAGAGCCCCGUCUGGUAGGACACCCAGCCCGUGUGAAGCUCCCUCGACGAGUCGAGUAGUUUGGGAAUGCUGCUCUAACGGGAGGUAUACUCCUUCCAAGGCUAAAUACCGGCUGGAGACCGAUAGCGCACAAGUAGAGUGAUCGAAAGAUGAAAAGCACUUUGAAAAGAGAGUCAAAUAGCACGUGAAAUUGUUGAAAGGGAAGCGCUCGCUACCAGACAUGGGUUCGGCGGUUCAACCGGGGCCACGCCCCGGGGCACUCCGCCGGCCCAGGCCAGCAUCAGCUUUCCGUCGGGGGCAAAGGCGUCGGGAAUGUGGCUCUCCUUCGGGGGAGUGUUAUAGCCCGGCGUGUCAUACCCUUCGGGGGGCUGAGGUACGCGCUCUG
Molecule: ribosomal RNA, 677 nt
Filed under: Gibellulopsis nigrescens
Lineage: Eukaryota; Fungi; Ascomycota; Sordariomycetes; Glomerellales; Plectosphaerellaceae
Description: eukaryotic LSU rRNA
Rfam family: Eukaryotic large subunit ribosomal RNA (bases 80-677)
Source: RNAcentral